This 214-nucleotide ribosomal RNA is filed under the name uncultured eukaryote. RNAcentral describes it as "partial small subunit ribosomal RNA". It matches the Rfam family "Eukaryotic small subunit ribosomal RNA", at positions 1297 to 1460 of the family's 1831-position model. The record is from RNAcentral.
GUUGGUGGAGUGAUUUGUCUGGUUAAUUCCGUUAACGAGCGAGACCAAUACUUACUAAAUAAAUCGCAGAACCGUCUGAUAUGCUAUGAGGCGCUACCGGCGAAUGUGGCUUAACGGCCGCUUCCUGGUCGCGUGGAUUAGUUGACGAGUUGUGUGCUAUUUUCUUAGGAGGACUGCUGCCUUCAAGGCAGAGGAAGUUAUUGGCAAUAACAGG